UUUGGGUGGUGGAGCAUGUGGUUUAAUUCGAUGAUACGCGAGGAACCUUACCAAGACUUAAAUGGGAAUUGACAGAUUUAGAAAUAGAUCCUCCUUCGGGCAAUUUUCAAGGUGCUGCAUGGUUGUCGUCAGCUCGUGCCGUGAGGUGUUAGGUUAAGUCCUGCAACGAGCGCAACCCCUGUCACUAUUUGCCAUCAUUAAGUUGGGGACUCUAGUGAGACUGCCUACGCAAGUAGAGAGGAAGGUGGGGAUGACGUCAAAUCAUCACGGCCCUUACGUCUUGGGCCACACACGUGCUACAAUGGAAGGAA
Molecule: ribosomal RNA, 311 nt
Filed under: Chryseobacterium gambrini
Lineage: Bacteria; Pseudomonadati; Bacteroidota; Flavobacteriia; Flavobacteriales; Weeksellaceae
Description: bacterial SSU rRNA
Rfam family: Bacterial small subunit ribosomal RNA
Source: RNAcentral